AGUGAACGCUGGCGGUAGGCCUAACACAUGCAAGUCGAACGAAAGCACAGUAAGAGCUUGCUCUUACGGGUGGCGAGUGGCGGAUGGGUGAGGAAUACAUCGGAUUCUACUUUUUCGUGGGGGAUAACGGAGGGAAACUUACGCUAAUACCUCAUACGUCCUACGGGUGAAUGCAGGGGAUCUUGGGACCUUGCGCGAUUGAAUGAGCCGAUGUCGGAUUCGCUAGUUGGCGGGGUAAAGGCCCACCAAGGCGACGAUCCGUAGCUGGUCUGAGAGGAUGAUCGGCCACACUGGAACUGAGACACGGUCCAGACUCCUACGGGAGGCAGCAGUAGGGAAUAUUCGACAAUGGGCGCAAGCCUGACCCAGCAAUGCCGCGUGGGUGAAGAAGGUCUUCGGAUUGUAAAACUCUUUUGUUGGGAAAGAACAGCAGCAGGUUAAUAUCCCGCCGUUUUGACGGUACCCAAAGAAUAAGCACCGGCUAACUUCGUG
RNAcentral lists this ribosomal RNA (492 nucleotides) under uncultured bacterium. Its description in RNAcentral is "partial 16S ribosomal RNA". It matches the Rfam family "Bacterial small subunit ribosomal RNA", at positions 29 to 507 of the family's 1533-position model. The record is from RNAcentral.